UACAGACCUUUGUGCGCAAUAGAAUUG
Molecule: small RNA, 27 nt
Filed under: Bombyx mori (domestic silkworm)
Lineage: Eukaryota; Metazoa; Arthropoda; Insecta; Lepidoptera; Bombycidae
Description: ovarian small RNA-20250
Source: RNAcentral